Molecule: transfer RNA, 73 nt
Filed under: Neotoma lepida (desert woodrat)
Lineage: Eukaryota; Metazoa; Chordata; Mammalia; Rodentia; Cricetidae
Rfam family: tRNA
About the family: Transfer RNA (tRNA) molecules are approximately 80 nucleotides in length. Their secondary structure includes four short double-helical elements and three loops (D, anti-codon, and T loops). Further hydrogen bonds mediate the characteristic L-shaped molecular structure. tRNAs have two regions of fundamental functional importance: the anti-codon, which is responsible for specific mRNA codon recognition, and the 3' end, to which the tRNAs corresponding amino acid is attached (by aminoacyl-tRNA synthetases). tRNAs cope with the degeneracy of the genetic code in two manners: having more than one tRNA (with a specific anti-codon) for a particular amino acid; and 'wobble' base-pairing, i.e. permitting non-standard base-pairing at the 3rd anti-codon position.
Source: Rfam by way of RNAcentral
GUCUGGCUAGCUCAGUUGGUAGAGCAUGAGAUUCUUAAUCUCAUGGUUGUGGGUUUGAGCCCCGUNUUGGGUG